This 277-nucleotide ribosomal RNA is filed under the name uncultured bacterium. RNAcentral's name for it is "partial 16S ribosomal RNA". It matches the Rfam family "Bacterial small subunit ribosomal RNA", at positions 506 to 784 of the family's 1533-position model. The record is from RNAcentral.
UGCCAGCAGCCGCGGUAAUACGGGGGGUGCAAGCGUUAAUCGGAAUUACUGGGCGUAAAGCGCGCGUAGGCGGUUUGUUAAGUCGGCUGUGAAAGCCCCGGGCUCAACCUGAACUGCAUUCGAUACUGGCAGACUAGAGUAUAGUAGAGGCAAGUGGAAUUCCGGGUGUAGCGGUGAAAUGCGUAGAUAUCCGGAGGAACAUCAGUGGCGAAGGCGACUUGCUGGACUAAUACUGACGCUGAGGAGCGAAAGCGUGGGGAGCAAACAGGAUUAGAUA